This 554-nucleotide ribosomal RNA is filed under the name uncultured bacterium. RNAcentral describes it as "partial 16S ribosomal RNA". It matches the Rfam family "Bacterial small subunit ribosomal RNA", at positions 355 to 900 of the family's 1533-position model. The record is from RNAcentral.
UAGGGAAUCUUCCACAAUGGACGCAAGUCUGAUGGAGCAACGCCGCGUGAGUGAAGAAGGUUUUCGGACCGUAAAGCUCUGUUGUUGGUGAAGAAGGAUAGAGGUAGUAACUGGCCUUUAUUUGACGGUAAUCAACCAGAAAGUCACGGCUAACUACGUGCCAGCAGCCGCGGUAAUACGUAGGUGGCAAGCGUUGUCCGGAUUUAUUGGGCGUAAAGCGAGCGCAGGCGGAAGAAUAAGUCUGAUGUGAAAGCCCUCGGCUUAACCGAGGAAUUGCAUCGGAAACUGUUUUCUUGAGUGCAGAAGAGGAGAGUAGAACUCCAUGUGUAGCGGUGGAAUGCGUAGAUAUAUGGAAGAAUACCAGUGGCGAAGGCGGCUCUCUGGUCUGCAACUGACGCUGAGGCUCGAAAGCAUGGGUAGCGAACAGGAUUAGAUACCCUGGUAGUCCAUGCCGCAAACGAUGAGUGCUAAGUGUUGGGAGGCUUCCGCCUCUCAGUGCUGCAGCUAACGCAUUAAGCACUCCGCCUGGGGGAGUACGACCGCAAGGUUGAAAC